GAUGAACGCUAGCGGCAGGCUUAAUACAUGCAAGUCGUGGGGCAGCAGGUUUGUAGCAAUACAGAUGCUGGCGACCGGCAAACGGGUGCGGAACACGUACAGAACCUUCCUUUGAGCGGGGAAUAGCCCAGAGAAAUUUGGAUUAAUACCCCAUAGUAUAAUGAAGUGGCAUCACUUUAUUAUUAAAGAUUUAUCACUCGAAGAUGGCUGUGCGGCUGAUUAGGUAGUUGGCGGGGUAAAGGCCCACCAAGCCUGCGAUCAGUAACUGGUGUGAGAGCACGACCAGUCACACGGGCACUGAGACACGGGCCCGACUCCUACGGGAGGCAGCAGUAAGGAAUACUGGUCAAUGGAGGCAACUCUGAACCAGCCAUGCCGCGUGGAGGAUGAAGGUCCUCUGGAUUGUAAACUUCUUUUAUAUGGGACGAAAAAAGGCUUUUCUAAGUCGUCUGACGGUACCAUAUGAAUAAGCACCGGCUAACUCCGUGCCAGCAGCCG
This 498-nucleotide ribosomal RNA is filed under the name uncultured bacterium. RNAcentral describes it as "bacterial SSU rRNA". It matches the Rfam family "Bacterial small subunit ribosomal RNA", at positions 28 to 517 of the family's 1533-position model. The record is from RNAcentral.